GGGACAACAGACGGAAACGACUGCUAAUACCGAAUAAGUUCCAAGAGCCGCAUGGCCCAUGGAAGAAAAGGUGGCCUCUACCUGUAAGCUAUCGCCUGAAGAGGGGUUUGCGUCUGAUUAGCUGGUUGGAGGGGUAACGGCCCACCAAGGCGACGAUCAGUAGCCGGUCUGAGAGGAUGAACGGCCACACUGGAACUGAGACACGGUCCAGACUCCUACGGGAGGCAGCAGUGGGGAAUCUUCCGCAAUGGGCGAAAGCCUGACGGAGCAACGCCGCGUGAGUGAUGACGGCCUUCGGGUUGUAAAACUCUGUGAUCCGGGACGAAAAGGCAGAGUGCGAAGAACAAACUGCAUUGACGGUACCGGAAAAGCAAGCCACGGCUAACUACGUGCCAGCAGCCGCGGUAAUACGUAGGUGGCAAGCGUUGUCCGGAAUUAUUGGGCGUAAAGCGCGCGCAGGCGGCUUCCCAAGUCCCUCUUAAAAGUGCGGGGCUUAACCCCGUGAUGGGAAGGAAACUGGGAAGCUGGAGUAUCGGAGAGGAAAGUGGAAUUCCUAGUGUAGCGGUGAAAUGCGUAGAGAUUAGGAAGAACACCGGUGGCGAAGGCGACUUUCUGGACGAAAACUGACGCUGAGGCGCGAAAGCGUGGGGAGCAAACAGGAUUAGAUACCCUGGUAGUCCACGCCGUAAACGAUGGAUACUAGGUGUAGGAGGUAUCGACCCCUCCUGUG
Molecule: ribosomal RNA, 730 nt
Filed under: uncultured bacterium
Lineage: Bacteria
Description: bacterial SSU rRNA
Rfam family: Bacterial small subunit ribosomal RNA
Source: RNAcentral